ACACCAAGAAGUUGAGUCAUAUAGGUGAUGGUUAAAAGAUAGUUAAGCAAAAGGAAAGAAGUGGGUUGCCUGAUGUGAUGUAUAGAGGUAAAAUUUAAGUACAUUAAUAUGAUCUGAAGGUAGCUUGGCGUAGGCUGAAUCUAUGAAAUCCUUGAGGGAAACUGGGAUUAGGUACCCCAUUAUUCUUGGAUAUAAAUAGAAAAUAUUUACCAGAGUACUAUGAAUAAUAUAAAAUUUAAAACUCAAAGAACUUGGCGGUGUUUUAGACCAUUUAGGGGAACCUGUCUCGUAAUCGACAAUCCGCGCUGUACCUGACCUUUUCUUGUUUUCAGUUUGUAUACCGUUGUCGUCAGGUAACUUUUUAGAGAAUAGAAGUUGGCUGUAGAAAUGUGGUAAUUUAGUACGUCAAAUCAAGGUGCAGCCAAUGAAAAGGAGAGGAUGGGUUACAAUUAUGUAGUUAUAAUAACGAAUAUCUAUAUGAAAGUAUAGGUUGUGAAGGAGGACUUAAAAGUAAACUGGAUUAUAAAAAUAGUUUGAAUAAGGCUCUGAAACGUGU
This 556-nucleotide ribosomal RNA is filed under the name Oxymeris cerithina. RNAcentral describes it as "partial 12S ribosomal RNA". The stretch from base 213 to 556 matches the Rfam family "Bacterial small subunit ribosomal RNA", at positions 875 to 1384 of the family's 1533-position model. Lineage: Eukaryota; Metazoa; Mollusca; Gastropoda; Neogastropoda; Terebridae. The record is from RNAcentral.